Molecule: ribosomal RNA, 466 nt
Filed under: uncultured bacterium
Lineage: Bacteria
Description: partial 16S ribosomal RNA
Rfam family: Bacterial small subunit ribosomal RNA
Source: RNAcentral
GAUGAACGCUGGCGGCGUGCUUAACACAUGCAAGUCGAACGAUGAAGCCCAGCUUGCUGGGUGGAUUAGUGGCGAACGGGUGAGUAACACGUGAGUAACCUGCCCUUGACUCUGGGAUAAGCCUGGGAAACUGGGUCUAAUACUGGAUAUGACUUCUCAUCGCAUGGUGGGGGGUGGAAAGAUUUAUUGGUCUUGGAUGGACUCGCGGCCUAUCAGCUUGUUGGUGAGGUAAUGGCUCACCGAGGCGACGACGGGUAGCCGGCCUGAGAGGGUGACCGGCCACACUGGGACUGAGACACGGCCCAGACUCCUACGGGAGGCAGCAGUGGGGAAUAUUGCACAAUGGGCGCAAGCCUGAUGCAGCGACGCCGCGUGAGGGACGACGGCCUUCGGGUUGUAAACCUCUUUCAGUAGGGAAGAAGCGAGAGUGACGGUACCUGCAGAAGAAGCGCCGGCUAACUACGUG